Molecule: long non-coding RNA, 1442 nt
Filed under: Scleropages formosus (Asian bonytongue)
Lineage: Eukaryota; Metazoa; Chordata; Actinopteri; Osteoglossiformes; Osteoglossidae
Description: lncRNA (ENSSFOG00015026178.1)
Source: RNAcentral
AGCAGAUCUGGAAGAGAAGCCAGCACUGUCUUCUGCAGCUUGUUUGCCGCCUUGAGAUCCUGCAGGACUGGGCUUGGGGGAUGGCAAAGGACGGAGGGGCUCAAGGAGAGAUCCAGUUCCCUGGUACCAAUCUCUCUCUGCCUGCCCUGCCGGGCUUGGAAUACCUUGACCCAGGAGGCUCUGGGUUGUGGGUACCGGUCCUGGGAGUUGAGAUGGAUUGGACCUCGGGAAGGCUGGUGCCACUGGCAGGGACCAUGGAAGAUGUUGACGGCAAAGGACUCGUUCCAAUGCGAAUCGGUGCCCGGACUGUGGACCCGGUGACAGGCAUCACAGGGUCGGUGGUGGGGGCCCGCUUAGACCCGCUGAGGAAGAUCGUGGUUCCUGUAAUUGUGCCCAACGGCCUGACUGAAGGAGAGGCUACAGACACAGGACUGCUGGAUAUUCUGCAGAGGGAAUGCUCUUUGAGGGGCAGGUUCUGGAGACAGCAGAGGAGGAAGGAAGAAGAGUUACUGAGAAACCUAGACAGAGUGCUACGUCACUGCUUCCAGAGCACCGUCCACGGCACUGGUCAGAGUGCUGCCCUCAGCAUCACUCGCAGUACCACCCAGAGCGGCACCACCCAGACCUCUACUGCGCAUGUGCAGGGCACACCUGUGCAGAGAUCCACUGUUCAGAUGCACUGGCAGGACAGGGAGGAGCAGCUGAGGACUGGUGCAGCAGUGCUAGCCCAGGAGGCCCAAGCCGAGGCCCAGAGGAGAACAAGGGCACGAUCGCACCUUUCUCUCCUGCUGCCGCACCACGUGCUCCUUAUCCUGACAGGAGGGGAUGAGGAGCAGUACGAGCAGCAGGGCUGGUGGCAGGCGGAGCUGACAGCUGGACUGGACAGGGUGAGCGUGGGUGUGAACAGACUGCAGCAGGAGCAGGACAGACGGAUGGCGAUGCCGCACCAGGGCUGUACUUUGAAGCUCAGGGAGUUGUGGGAGCAGCUGAUCUCCAGGCAGGCAGAGCUGGAGACUGCUCUUACCAGGCAGCACUGUGUCCGUGAGCACUGCCAACUCCGCAUGGACACAGCACAGGCUUUUUUGCUUGGCACCUUUUGGUACAAAGACUUUAGACUGACCCAAAUUAUUGGCCACACAAAGCUCAGGCGAGGGGAGGCUGUGAUCCUUCCUUUGCUGCAGAAGCUCCUUUACCUGCUGGAGGAACAGAAACAGGGGAGCCACGGGAGGCCAGGAGCUUUUACCGGAGAUCUGAUGGAGGCAACCAAGACUCAAGAGCCUGAGCAAGGAUCUUCCGCCACACUAGACCCCUGGACAAACCCACCCUCUGUCCUCCGAGGGAAAGGUGGGGUGGACAUGCUACUGGCAAAGUGCAGGUUGCUAUGGUACUUAGCUCUUGGUAUGAUGCAGAAAUUCUUGACAGUCAAAAGGUGUAGUGGUUAA